GACGAACGCUGGCGGCGUGCCUAAUACAUGCAAGUUGAGCGAUGAAGCUUGGUGCUUGCACCAAUUUGAAGAGCAGCGAACGGGUGAGUAACGCGUGGGGAAUCUGCCUUUGAGCGGGGGACAACAUUUGGAAACGAAUGCUAAUACCGCAUAACAACUUUAAACAUAAGUUUUAAGUUUGAAAGAUGCAAUUGCAUCACUCAAAGAUGAUCCCGCGUUGUAUUAGCUAGUUGGUGAGGUAAAGGCUCACCAAGGCGAUGAUACAUAGCCGACCUGAGAGGGUGAUCGGCCACAUUGGGACUGAGACACGGCCCAAACUCCUACGGGAGGCAGCAGUAGGGAAUCUUCGGCAAUGGACGAAAGUCUGACCGAGCAACGCCGCGUGAGUGAAGAAGGUUUUCGGAUCGUAAAACUCUGUUGGUAGAGAAGGACGUUGGUGAGAGUGGAAAGCUCAUCAAGUGACGGUAACUACCCAGAAAGGGACGGCUAACUACGUG
This 497-nucleotide ribosomal RNA is filed under the name uncultured bacterium. RNAcentral describes it as "partial 16S ribosomal RNA". It matches the Rfam family "Bacterial small subunit ribosomal RNA", at positions 28 to 507 of the family's 1533-position model. The record is from RNAcentral.